UUUAUAUUUACAUCUAACACGAUUUUACAACCCAUAUGGAAAUGGGGUUUGUACAUUUAUUUAUAUAGCUGUAUAAUUUUGUAUUGCAAUGGGUCAAAAUAAUUGGCCAAAUCUGAUGUUAAGUAUAAGUUGAAUUGCAUACAAUGGUAGGCACUCACAGUGUUUUCUAAACAUUCAGUUUCAGUGAAAACAUUUGCAGUAAAUGACAACCGACAGCUCAAACAGGAAAAAUAGAAUGUGAAUAAACAUGUUUAUCAAGAGUUAUAAAAUGGUUUCAGUUUCUUUUUGCUGCUGUUAAAUACCAGAGAAAAGAGUCAACUCCAGUAUACUUCCAGCUGAUAUGGAGGACUUUUAAAGAGCGGGGAGUUCAGAGGUUCCAUCGGACCAUGGCUACCAUGGGCACUGAAGAACAAAAGCCAACAGUAUCUGAAUACGGAAAAAAGUCCAAAAGCUAAGGGAGGGCGGAGGAAGGACUUGGCGGAGGGUCGCCAGACCAAGUGUCCCCGCAGCCAGCGAGAGAGAGUCGCGUAGCGGCGACACGUUGAACGCCGCUGCAACUGGCAAGGCGGGCGACCACGGAAUGGCCACAUCAGAGGCCGACGACGAGGAGGUCACACAGCUGGCAGCGACGAUGACAGCGUCGGUGGAUCCGCUGCCGACGAUGAAGAUGGCGGUACUGUGCAGAGUCCCGCCAGUGACGUGGAAGACCUCCGCGCCGUGCAAUUGUGCGCCAGAGAAGAUGUCAUCAUGCGCGGAGUCAUUGACGAUGAAGGUGGUGUCAUGGGCGGAGUUUUCGACGAUGUUGACAAUGAAGAUGGCGGCGCCCUAGUGAUGCCCGCCAGAGAUGUGGUCGUGGGUGGAUCCGCUCCCGACCAGGAAGAUGGCGGUGUCGUGCAGAGUCCCACCGUUGACGCGGAAGAUGUCCACGCAGUGCGAAGGCGCACCAGAGAAGACGAAAGUGGCGGCGCCGUGGGAAGAGAUGAUGGCGGGGAUGACAGCGGCAUGUCCUUGAUUGCACCGCUGCUGGUAGUAGCCCCCCCUCCACUAAGCGGAUGCCAGACGCCGUCCACCACUGAGCGAAGAGUUGCUGUUUGCCGACGUCCCCCGAUGCGAAAACCGGGGACGGGCGGGAGAAGGCCAGGAGGAGGGAAAACGACACAUGCCUCGCCGAGUCCCAGUAGGCGGCCAGGAAGGACAUCACGGUGGGCUCCACUGGAGCCUUCGCCGGACUGGCAGGACGAGCGGGUGCUGAAAGGGAGAGUAGCCGUGGGGCAGCUGCUGGAAGCUGCCUGGGAGCAAAAACGGGUGCUGGGCGCUCAGCCGGUGUUGAUCCUCGUGGCGCCGCGACUGGCGUAAGACACGGGGCUGCGACCGGCGUGCGACGCGGGGCUGCGACCGGCGUGUGACGCUGUCUGGGAACCAGUGGUCGACGUGCCGGCACAGGUGAUUGCCAUGGAGCUGGGGCAGGAUGCACAGCAGGCGAUGGGGAAGAUGGCGGCGGUGGCCGCGCCGGUCGGAGAUCCAGGACCGGCGGCCGAGCCGGGGGGUGCGAAGGUGGCGGUGGCCUAGCCGGUCGGAGAGCCGGAACCGGCGGUCGAGGCGGGGAGAGAAAGUCCGAGCCUGCUGUGGGCUGGGACCACACAAACCUGGCUUUCAAGUCCUCCAUGAUCUGUGCGGUUCAGAACGUCGGCUGUCGACAGGGGUUUCUGCGAGGCCACAACAGUCUGGCUCGAACAUCCUGUUAAGAACUCGCAUGGCUGCCGUUUUUGUGACCCCAAGAUGCAGGAACCAGGAGAGCGAAGAGAAGGGUCACAGGGGGGCGCUGGCGCCUACCUCAGCUACAAUCGGGCGGAAAGCGGCGUACACCCUGGACGAGUCGCCACCUCAUCACAGUAAUUGUAUAAUUGUAUGGAAGUAAACAUGAAAUAAAUGUACGGAUACAUGUUCAAUAUAUUAUGAAAUAUAUUGUAAUUGUAAUAUGUAUGCACUAUUGUUAUACCUAUAUGAAAACAUGCACAUACAAUGUAUGCCUCCUAUUAACACAAGAGGGGUAAUCAAUCAAAAGUCACCUUAAUUUUCUUUUUAGGCAGACACUGAACACAGUAAUACGUAGGAGACCUUGCAUACGGUCUUAUAUAUCUCUCAACAUUUUUAUAAAUGCCAUUGAAAUUAAAAUAUACAAAACAUAAAUUAAAGCAAUUUUAAUGAACAAUGUCUAUUUUAUAUAUAUAUAUAUAUAUAUAUACAUAUAUAUAUAUAUAUAUAUAUAUAUAUAUAUAGUUAUGUAUAUAGUUUAAUGAACAAUGUCUAUUAUACAUAUAUGUAUAUAUAUUAAGGGUGGGCAAAUUAAUGCGUUAAUUAUGAGUUAACUCAUCACUCUAUUAACGCCGACAAUUAUUUUAUCGCACAUUUGCGUAUGUUGUUUACAUGCUUUUAUUUUGUUAACGCCUUUUCUUAACAAGAUGGCGUUGCCCGGCGUCGAGGGGCUCUUGGUAAAGAUGGAACAUUUGGCAAAAAUACCAGACAAUUCUGCAAAUUUCAUGGCUGGCUUACAGCGUGGUCACUCCGGGAUCACUUACGACCGCCAGACAAUUCUGGAUGUGGAUAGAUCGGGCCGUUUUGGACUGAAUGACGCUUGCUUGCUAGAUCGGCUAGCUAGCAUGGGAAUACUUUGCCGGCUACAUCCAGCAGCCUGUGAAGCAGCAGAGUAUAUGUGUUGUCUGUCUAUUUAUGAAUAAUGCAGACGAGGCGUAUUGGCUGAGUUCUUAACGUUUACUUUCAGAGCGUGCAUAUCACAACAUACAAGAUGCCGUCAUGGCGACACACAACCUAUACCGGGCUACCGCGCAUGCUCGUCACUCCUGUUGCAUGCUGGGUAGGGUAGUUCUUUUAUUCCCUGGCUCAUAACGUCACCAUAUAGUACCAUGUAUAUGAUGCGUUCAGUUUAUCAAAGCACCAAGCAAACAAUCGGAAAAUUCCCAUCAUAUCAAUUCCUAGAUAUGGUCAUAAUAAUCUUAAAUGCACUACGCAGAAUAAACACAACAUUAUUAAUAUAGCUACUACGGAUAAUUUGAUCAAAAAUUCCCUAAAACAGCCCACUACCUAUAAUAUAGGUUUUUUAAACAUAAGAUCCCUGAUAAAAAAAUGUUUCUGCUCUUACCUCAGAAAUUGCCUGUUCAGAUGUUGUGAUUGUGGCUCAGAGAUUUGUAUGUAGAUUAUAUUUAUUUUCCAUAACAAACAGGAUAACUUAAAUACCCUGGCAGUGGCAAUAAGCUUAAAUGUUUGUAUUUACAUUUUUUUAGUUGAUUUUCAUAAAAUAUGCCAUUUAACUGCUUCUGUUUAACAAGGACUGAUUUAAAUUGUGUUUGCACAACAAAUGUUUUGGCGCUUUUGUUCAUGUGGGAGAAUAUUCCAAUAAAGGUGCACUACACACUA
This is an RNA transcript of Nerophis ophidion (straightnose pipefish), 3435 nucleotides long. RefSeq lists it as uncharacterized. Lineage: Eukaryota; Metazoa; Chordata; Actinopteri; Syngnathiformes; Syngnathidae. The record is from RefSeq and is a predicted model, not a curated record. The transcript has 4 exons.